RNAcentral lists this ribosomal RNA (497 nucleotides) under uncultured bacterium. Its description in RNAcentral is "partial 16S ribosomal RNA". It matches the Rfam family "Bacterial small subunit ribosomal RNA", at positions 28 to 507 of the family's 1533-position model. The record is from RNAcentral.
GAUGAACGCUGGCGGCGUGCCUAAUACAUGCAAGUCGAGCGAACAGACGAGGAGCUUGCUCCUCUGACGUUAGCGGCGGACGGGUGAGUAACACGUGGAUAACCUCCCUAUAAGACUGGGAUAACUUCGGGAAACCGGAGCUAAUACCGGAUAAUAUCUUGAACCGCAUUGUUCAAUAGUGAAAGACGGUUUUGCUGUCACUUAUAGAUGGAUCCGCGCCGUAUUAGCUAGUUGGUAAGUUAACGGCUUACCAAGGCAACGAUGCGUAGCCGACCUGAGAGGGUGAUCGGCCACACUGGAACUGAGACAGGGUCCAGACUCCUACGGGAGGGAGCAGUAGGGAAUCUUCCGCAAUGGGCGAAAGCCUGACGGAGCAGCGCCGCGUGAGUGAUGAAGGUCUUCGGAUCGUAAAACUCGGUUAUGAGGGAAGAACAAAUGUGUAAGGAACUGUGCACGGCUUGACGGUACCUAAUCAGAAAGCCACGGCUAACUACGUG